This 174-nucleotide microRNA precursor is filed under the name Setaria italica (foxtail millet). RNAcentral's name for it is "MIR2118 microRNA precursor family". It matches the Rfam family "MIR2118 microRNA precursor family". Lineage: Eukaryota; Viridiplantae; Streptophyta; Magnoliopsida; Poales; Poaceae. The record is from Rfam by way of RNAcentral.
GCCAGGAAGAGGAAGAAAGAGAAUACCUAAGAGCAGUGGGAAUGGGAACAUGGAGGAAAGCACAACAACUGUCUGUUUUUUCCCCUCAAGAAUUGGAUGCAGACAUUUGUCUGUGUUUUCCUGGUGCCUCCCAUUCCUACAGUUCUUAGGUGCUCCUCCCUCUUCCUCGGACCU